UACCAGACUCCUACGGGAGGCAGCAGUGGGGAAUAUUGCACAAUGGGGGAAACCCUGAUGCAGCGACGCCGCGUGAAGGAAGAAGUAUUUCGGUAUGUAAACUUCUCUCAGCAGGGAAGAAAAUGACGGUACCUGAGUAAGAAGCCCCGGCUAACUACGUGCCAGCAGCCGCGGUAAUACGUAGGUGGCGAGCGUUAUCCGGAUUUACUGGGUGUAAAGGGCGUGUAGGCGGGAGAGCAAGUCAGAUGUGAAAACUACAGGCUUAACCUGUAGCCUGCAUUUGAAACUGUUCUUCUUGAGUGAUGGAGAGGCAGGCGGAAUUCCUAGUGUAGCGGUGAAAUGCGUAGAUAUUAGGAGGAACACCAGUGGCGAAGGCGGCCUGCUGGACAUUAACUGACGCUGAGGCGCGAAAGCGUGGGGAGCAAACAGGAUUAGAUACCCCAUUA
RNAcentral lists this ribosomal RNA (446 nucleotides) under uncultured bacterium. Its description in RNAcentral is "bacterial SSU rRNA". It matches the Rfam family "Bacterial small subunit ribosomal RNA", at positions 329 to 792 of the family's 1533-position model. The record is from RNAcentral.